RNAcentral lists this long non-coding RNA (248 nucleotides) under Nicotiana benthamiana. RNAcentral's name for it is "long non-coding RNA (NBEN_LNC042238)". Lineage: Eukaryota; Viridiplantae; Streptophyta; Magnoliopsida; Solanales; Solanaceae. The record is from RNAcentral.
UUCAAAAUUCUGGUUUCAAUCAAAAAGUCUACAAAACCACGUCCGAAUCACCUGAAAUUUUGCGCAGACAUCCCAAAUGACAUAAUGGACCUACUGCAACUCCCGAAAUUCCAUUCUGACCUCUAUAUGAAAAUCUCACUUAUCAACCCAAAAUGCAUAAAUUCCAAUUUCGCCAAAUCAAGUCUAAGUCUACUUCGAACUUCCAAAACACAUUGCUCAUGAUCCUAUGUCCAAAUCAUCUCAUGAAG